This 796-nucleotide ribosomal RNA is filed under the name uncultured bacterium. RNAcentral's name for it is "bacterial SSU rRNA". It matches the Rfam family "Bacterial small subunit ribosomal RNA", at positions 8 to 794 of the family's 1533-position model. The record is from RNAcentral.
AGAGUUUGAUCAUGGCUCAGGAUGAACGCUAGCUACAGGCUUAACACAUGCAAGUCGAGGGGCAGCAUGAACUUAGCUUGCUAAGUUUGAUGGCGACCGGCGCACGGGUGAGUAACACGUAUCCAACCUGCCGAUGACUCGGGGAUAGCCUUUCGAAAGAAAGAUUAAUACCCGAUGGCAUAGUUCUUCCGCAUGGUGGAACUAUUAAAGAACUUCGGUCAUCGAUGGGGAUGCGUUCCAUUAGGUUGUUGGCGGGGUAACGGCCCACCAAGCCUUCGAUGGAUAGGGGUUCUGAGAGGAAGGUCCCCCACAUUGGAACUGAGACACGGUCCAAACUCCUACGGGAGGCAGCAGUGAGGAAUAUUGGUCAAUGGACGAGAGUCUGAACCAGCCAAGUAGCGUGAAGGAUGACUGCCCUAUGGGUUGUAAACUUCUUUUAUACGGGAAUAAAGUGAGGCACGUGUGCCUUUUUGUAUGUACCGUAUGAAUAAGGAUCGGCUAACUCCGUGCCAGCAGCCGCGGUAAUACGGAGGAUCCGAGCGUUAUCCGGAUUUAUUGGGUUUAAAGGGAGCGUAGGCGGACGCUUAAGUCAGUUGUGAAAGUUUGCGGCUCAACCGUAAAAUUGCAGUUGAUACUGGGUGUCUUGAGUACAGUAGAGGCAGGCGGAAUUCGUGGUGUAGCGGUGAAAUGCUUAGAUAUCACGAAGAACUCCGACUGCGAAGGCAGCCUGCUGGACUGUAACUGACGCUGAUGCUCGAAAGUGUGGGUAUCAAACAGGAUUAGAUACCCUGGUAGU